RNAcentral lists this ribosomal RNA (253 nucleotides) under uncultured bacterium. RNAcentral describes it as "partial 16S ribosomal RNA". It matches the Rfam family "Bacterial small subunit ribosomal RNA", at positions 524 to 776 of the family's 1533-position model. The record is from RNAcentral.
UACAGAGGUCCCAAGCGUUGUUCGGAUUCACUGGGCGUAAAGGGUGCGUAGGCGGCGCGGUAAGUCGGGUGUGAAAUCUCGGAGCUUAACUCCGAAACUGCAUUCGAUACUGCCGUGCUUGAGGACUGGAGAGGAGACUGGAAUUUACGGUGUAGCGGUGAAAUGCGUAGAUAUCGUAAGGAAGACCAGUGGCGAAGGCGAGUCUCUGGACAGUUCCUGACGCUGAGGCACGAAGGUCAGGGGAGCAAACGGG